Long non-coding RNA from Solanum tuberosum (potato), 634 nucleotides. RefSeq lists it as uncharacterized. Lineage: Eukaryota; Viridiplantae; Streptophyta; Magnoliopsida; Solanales; Solanaceae. The transcript has 2 exons. The record is from RefSeq and is a predicted model, not a curated record.
GACUACUAUCAAAGUAACGGCCUUAUCACUACAAAAAAAUUAUUUUAUUGAAAAUUACUUAUCGUACUUAAGGUCAUAGGCGAUUAAAGUCGAGUAGCUUACCAAUAACUUAAAUUUCAUUAUUUUAUCUUUUUCUAUGUUUUUUUGCCAUUCCCUACUAUUCUUUUAUGUAUUCAAAAGAAAAAUCAUUUUUCCCCGAAAUUAGUUUUUUACUUUAGAGAUAGCCCCUCCUUUCUACCUUUCUAACAGUUUCAGGUUAUUCUCUUUCUGUGUAGGGGUCCAUCUCUUUGGACUGAUUGCAAACAAUGCACACGAAAUUGCAGAUCACAGGUGACGUCGACAAGACUUUAGCUAUAGUGUACGAGUUGACAAAUCUAUAGUUCACGGGGAUUGCUUUGUGUGGACAAGAAGUUAUUUAUUUACUACCGCCCUUUUCUUUUGAACUCUUAGAGUCGCUUUGUUAAUCAUUUCACUAAUGUCAUGCAUAAUUUUUCAUUAUUGGAAACUUGAAAUAGUAUUAGACUUCUUUUCAUAUUUGGAGAUGGAUUUAGUAUUAUUAUAUUGUUGAUGCAUGUUAUGGCUUGCUUUUUUUAGCGAUAUUGGUUGGAUAUGUUAUUGAUUUUUGAGACAGGAA